Nymphalis io (European peacock) is the source of this 441-nucleotide long non-coding RNA. RefSeq lists it as uncharacterized. Lineage: Eukaryota; Metazoa; Arthropoda; Insecta; Lepidoptera; Nymphalidae. The record is from RefSeq and is a predicted model, not a curated record. The transcript has 3 exons.
GACGGGACGUUGUCGGAAAUACCGGAUCGCGUUGCGUUCAAUGUAAUUUGAUAAACGCAAUCCAUCGAAUCUAAUUCCAAUCGAACAAGGAGUACAGAUACACAAGUCUAGGUUUAUAAUUCACAUGAUUUGCUAAAAGCUAAUCUCAACCAAUUUCAGCUUCUGAGUACAUUCUCAAGACAAGCCAAAUGCACAGGAAAUAUUAUAGUGUGAGCUAGCACAGGUGCGCAAUCUAUUCACUUACUUUCAUAAUCCGAUGGGACGGCAAAUGCAACACGACCGGAAGAAGUUUAGAAGCAGGACCAACGGCUUUACGUGCUUUCCGAAGCACGAGUGUACACAAUUCCAAUUUAGAGACUCAAGGCUGCUACUGAGAAGAUUGUACAUAAUUGUGUAUAUAACGCAUUUUUAACACAUAGAAUAAAUUGUCACGAAAUUUCA